GUAUGCUAUCCACACAGUGGACACUGCCCUGCUCAGCUGGCAACAGAACAAGAAUCCAGAAGCAGAGGAGCUGCUCUACAGCCACUAUGUGAUUUGUAAUGACACAAAUGAGAUUCUGCGCUUUGGCCAAGUGGACACAGAUGAGAAUGUGCUGCUGGCUAGCCUCCACAGCCACCAAUACAGCUGGAGAUCCCACAAGUCAGCUCAGCUGCUGCACAUCUGCAUCGAGGGAUGGGGGAACUGGCGCUGGUCGGAGCCGUUCAGCGUGGACAACAUAGGGAC
This is a long non-coding RNA of Nematolebias whitei (Rio pearlfish), 282 nucleotides long. RefSeq lists it as uncharacterized. NCBI's taxonomy places the organism in Eukaryota, Metazoa, Chordata, Actinopteri, Cyprinodontiformes, Rivulidae. The transcript is spliced from 3 exons. The record is from RefSeq and is a predicted model, not a curated record.